GCGGGCGUAAUUCAGUGGUAGAAUGCAAGCUUCCCAAGCUUGACGUCGGGAGUUCGAACCUCCUCGUCCGCU
Molecule: transfer RNA, 72 nt
Filed under: Candidatus Zixiibacteriota bacterium
Lineage: Bacteria; Pseudomonadati; Candidatus Zixiibacteriota
Also listed under: 1 other name
Description: candidate division Zixibacteria bacterium tRNA-Gly
Rfam family: tRNA
About the family: Transfer RNA (tRNA) molecules are approximately 80 nucleotides in length. Their secondary structure includes four short double-helical elements and three loops (D, anti-codon, and T loops).
Source: RNAcentral